Molecule: long non-coding RNA, 2040 nt
Organism: Megalobrama amblycephala (Wuchang bream)
Lineage: Eukaryota; Metazoa; Chordata; Actinopteri; Cypriniformes; Xenocyprididae
Exons: 3
Source: RefSeq, a predicted model, not a curated record
UCAAAUAGGCCAAUUGAUGGAUAGUUUGCGAUGAAAUUUCAUGCUCCCUUGUAAAAGUACUUUUUAGUAUUUUUAAAAUACAAAAAUACAGUAGUUUAUUUUGAUACAUGGCGUGACUGCUGUAUUUUGUAGUUUAUUUUGAUACACUUAAAAUUAAGAUAUUUGGUAUUUUAUUUUAAAAUACAUUUUGAUGUAUUUUUGCCCAACCCUGAACCUAUACUACAUCAUCAUAUGUUCUGUCAUAUAAACAGUAUUUACAAUUAAAUAACAGCACAAUUUACUUGCCUCAACCAACUCAGUAUGCAUUAGUAGGCUAUUAUUAUUAUAAUUAUUGUUUUUGUUGAUCCAUUUCAUCUAUUGACAAACUUUAAUAGGCCUAUGUGAACUAUAUUAUCAGAAAACUGAACACAUUUAGCGUCGUCAGGCUUUUUUUUGUGCUUCUUGCGCACACAAGUUUAUGGGUGCUGUAAAUUUUACCUGCCACAAGAUGGCGCUGUUUUCGACAUUCUUGGUGCUUUGAAACCUUUGGAGAUUUAAGAGGCUUCAUUUCUCCAUCCCUACUCAAUAGUUUUAGGCCUUUUUGCAAAUGUUUCAGUCAUACACACGUUUGACUUUACAACACACAAACGCACACCUUUAUGUAUUCUCAUUCUCGCUUGCUCUCUUAAUAUGUCAUGACUGCAAGCAGAUAGAUUUUAAUAAUCAAUUUAAAAAUUAUGUAAAAAAUAAAAACGGCAUUAAUUAACGCCCUCUCAUGGUACGCACAGCUGCAGGCGCCACUGGUCAAAAGCAUCAUAAGAUCGUGAUUCUGUAACCUACGUAUAAUAUUUUGUAAUUUUUGGAGUUUAAUAAAACAUAAGGAAUUUAAAUAGGUAAAUUGUCAAAACUCAUGCCAGAUAUUUCAAUAGCCUACCAAAAUCACAUUUUUAUAUUCUCGUACCGUACGUUCCUAUACACAGUAUUUGAUUGAUGCAAAACAAGAACUUUUUUUUUAACUCAAAGUAACUUGAAACUCUCACAAGGCCAAGGCUAUCCCUGCUGAAAAAAACAGUAUAUGCUGGUUAAGGUAGGUGUUGUAGCUGCUGGUCCUAUGCUGGUCGAUCCUGGACCAGCAUAAACCAGCUCAAACCAGCAUACCAAAACCUACCUUAACCAUACUAUUUUUUCAGCAGUUUUAUUUUUUACUCUGAGGAAGAAAUUGGUCUUCUAUAGUGUACUAUGCAUUGCUGCUCGAUUUUAAUUGUAACGAUACAAAUCACUGUUGUUAGGAUUACCUUUUUUUCGAUCGCACAACACAGACGCCGUGAACUGAGAACUGACCACCGCGUGCAUAUGGACUACAUUACCCACAAUGACCUAUUGUAAACAGGAAGUGCGUCACGGAAUUUCAAACCUGUAGAGCUCAUACUGAAUGAUCAGUUAUUGGUCAUUCUAUCUCUAGAAUUAAAGUGACUUUAUGUGUCGGUUCUGGUAGCAGAUAUUCAGGAUCUUUGACUCCGAAAUACUGAUUCAACAACAUAAAGCUCUUCGCGUCCGGAACACAGAUAGGAUUUCAUUUUACACCUAAAUCCUCAGAUCUGGGUCCUAAUAAUCAUCCACACAGAACCAGAACCAGAACCAGAACCAGCAGCAAACGCGGUUCUCCAGCGGGUCCAGAGCAGGAUUUGAACGAUGAUCAGCUGAUCUGGGUCUCAGCGCUCGUGCUUUUUUUGAGGCUGUCCCGGUUUCUAUUGGUAACGGGCACGCGCACAGAUUUCACCAUAAACACUCCGGUUCUCCUGCUGGGAAGCAGAUAUGACCUCAAAACAGAAGAAGGGUCUCAGAGGAUCUAUAGAUGACGUGUUAGGAGAUGUGCUGGGCGAUGAUGAUGAUAAAGGUAUUAUUCACUGAUCUAGUCACAGUAUUUUCAUGACAGCAGACGUGUUUUACCUGUUUUAAAGGUCCCGUUCUUCGUGAUCCCAUGUUUUAAACUUUAGUUAGUGUGUAAUGUUGUUGUUAGAGUAUAAAUCAAAUCUGUAAAAUUUUAAAGCUCAAAGUUCA